Molecule: ribosomal RNA, 118 nt
Filed under: Diaphorina citri (Asian citrus psyllid)
Lineage: Eukaryota; Metazoa; Arthropoda; Insecta; Hemiptera; Psyllidae
Source: RNAcentral
GCCAGAGGCCUUAGCAUGUUGAACGUUCCAGUUCUCAAUUGAACACUGAAGAUAAGCAACGUUCCACCUGGUUGGUAUCCGGAUAGGUGACCAUCUGGGCAAUCGCGUGCUGCUGGCU